RNAcentral lists this ribosomal RNA (1306 nucleotides) under uncultured bacterium. Its description in RNAcentral is "bacterial SSU rRNA". It matches the Rfam family "Bacterial small subunit ribosomal RNA", at positions 28 to 1381 of the family's 1533-position model. The record is from RNAcentral.
AACGUACGCUGGCGGCACGCCUAACACAUGCAAGUCGAACGAAGUAGCAAUACUUAGUGGCAGACGGGUGAGUAACAUGUAGGUAUCUGCCCUUUGGCCUGGAAUAACACGAGGAAACUUGUGCUAAUACCGGAUAAGUCUUUACGGAGAAAGCUUUAUGCACCAUUGGAUGAGCCUGCACUUGAUUAGUUUGUUGGUGGGGUAAUGGCCUACCAAGACUGUGAUCAAUAGCUGAUUUGAGAGGAUGAUCAGCCACAUUGGGACUGAGACACGGCCCAAACUCCUACGGGAGGCAGCAGUGGGGAAUCUUGCACAAUGGAGGAAACUCUGAUGCAGCGAUGCCGCGUGAGUGAAGAAGGCCCUUGGGUUGUAAAGCUCUUUCGUCGGGGAAGAAAAUGACUGUACCCGAAUAAGAAGGUCCGGCUAACUUCGUGCCAGCAGCCGCGGUAAUACGAAGGGACCUAGCGUAGUUCGGAAUUACUGGGCUUAAAGAGUUCGUAGGUGGUUGAAAAAGUUAGUGGUGAAAUCCCAGAGCUUAACUCUGGAACUGCCAUUAAAACUUUUCAGCUAGAGUAUGAUAGAGGAAAGCAGAAUUUCUAGUGUAGAGGUGAAAUUCGUAGAUAUUAGAAAGAAUACCAAUUGCGAAGGCAGCUUUCUGGAUCAUUACUGACACUGAGGAACGAAAGCAUGGGUAGCGAAGAGGAUUAGAUACCCUCGUAGUCCAUGCCGUAAACGAUGUGUGUUAGACGUUGGAAAUUUAUUUUCAGUGUCGCAGGGAAACCGAUAAACACACCGCCUGGGGAGUACGACCGCAAGGUUAAAACUCAAAUGAAUUGACGGGGACCCGCACAAGUAGUGGAGCAUGUGGUUUAAUUCGAAGAUACGCGCAGAACCUUACCAACACUUGACAUGUUCGUCGCGACUCUAAGAGAUUAGAGUUUUCGGUUCGGCCGGACGAAACACAGGUGCUGCAUGGCUGUCGUCAGCUCGUGUCGUGAGAUGUUGGGUUAAGUCCCGCAACGAGCGCAACCCUCACUUUUAGUUGCCAUCAUUAAGUUGGGCACUCUGAAAGAACUGCCAGUGAUAAGCUGGAGGAAGGUGGGGAUGACGUCAAGUCCUCAUGGCCCUUACGUGUUGGGCUACACACGUGCUACAAUGGUAUCUACAACAGGAAGCAAGACUGCGAAGUUAAGCAAAUCCCUAAAAGAUACCUCAGUUUGGAUUGCACUCUGCAACUCGAGUGCAUGAAGCUGGAAUUACUAGUAAUCGUGGAUCAGCGUGCCACGGUGAAUGCGUUCCCGGGUCU